GAUGAACGCUGGCGGCGUGCCUAAUACAUGCAAGUCGAGCGAACAGAUGAGGAGCUUGCUCCUCUGACGUUAGCGGCGGACGGGUGAGUAACACGUGGAUAACCUACCUAUAAGACUGGGAUAACUUCGGGAAACCGGAGCUAAUACCGGAUAAUAUAUUGAACCGCAUGGUUCAAUAGUGAAAGACGGUUUUGCUGUCACUUAUAGAUGGAUCCGCGCCGCAUUAGCUAGUUGGUAAGGUAACGGCUUACCAAGGCAACGAUGCGUAGCCGACCUGAGAGGGUGAUCGGCCACACUGGAACUGAGACACGGUCCAGACUCCUACGGGAGGCAGCAGUAGGGAAUCUUCCGCAAUGGGCGAAAGCCUGACGGAGCAACGCCGCGUGAGUGAUGAAGGUCUUCGGAUCGUAAAACUCUGUUAUUAGGGAAGAACAAAUGUGUAAGUAACUAUGCACGUCUUGACGGUACCUAAUCAGAAAGCCACGGCGAACUACG
RNAcentral lists this ribosomal RNA (495 nucleotides) under uncultured bacterium. RNAcentral describes it as "partial 16S ribosomal RNA". It matches the Rfam family "Bacterial small subunit ribosomal RNA", at positions 28 to 505 of the family's 1533-position model. The record is from RNAcentral.